Molecule: small nuclear RNA, 107 nt
Organism: Octodon degus (degu)
Lineage: Eukaryota; Metazoa; Chordata; Mammalia; Rodentia; Octodontidae
Source: Ensembl
GUGCUUGUUUUGGCAGCACUUACACCUAAGUUGGAAUGAUACAGAGAAGUUUAGCAUGGCCCCUGCGCAAGGAUGACAUGCAAAUUCAUGAAACAUUCUGUAUUUUA